AGAGUUUGAUCCUGGCUCAGAACGAACGCUGGCGGCAGGCCUAACACAUGCAAGUCGAACGAGCUGAGACCUUCGGGUCUCGAUGCUAGUGGCGCACGGGUGAGUAACGCGUGGGAACCUACCCUAUAGUACGGAAUAACUGAGGGAAACUUCAGCUAAUACCGUAUACGUCCUCCGGGAGAAAGAUUUAUCGCUAUAGG
Molecule: ribosomal RNA, 200 nt
Filed under: uncultured bacterium
Lineage: Bacteria
Description: partial 16S ribosomal RNA
Rfam family: Bacterial small subunit ribosomal RNA
Source: RNAcentral